UGCGCAGUGGACGGCUCGGUUCCCGUGUCGAUGAAGGACGUAGCGAAAUACGAAAGGUGUUGCGAAUUGCAAGAUUUCGUGAGUCAAUGAAUAUCCGAAUGCAUUGUC
This 108-nucleotide ribosomal RNA is filed under the name Caulerpa racemosa. Its description in RNAcentral is "partial 5.8S ribosomal RNA". It matches the Rfam family "5.8S ribosomal RNA", at positions 9 to 114 of the family's 154-position model. Rfam says of the family: 5.8S ribosomal RNA (5.8S rRNA) is a component of the large subunit of the eukaryotic ribosome. It is transcribed by RNA polymerase I as part of the 45S precursor that also contains 18S and 28S rRNA. Functionally, it is thought that 5.8S rRNA may be involved in ribosome translocation. Lineage: Eukaryota; Viridiplantae; Chlorophyta; Ulvophyceae; Bryopsidales; Caulerpaceae. The record is from RNAcentral.